AGACCCGAAACCCGGUGAUCUAGCCAUGGGCAGGUUGAAGGUUGGGUAACACUAACUGGAGGACCGAACCGACUAAUGUUGAAAAAUUAGCGGAUGACCUGUGGCUGGGGGUGAAAGGCCAAUCAAACCGGGAGAUAGCUGGUUCUCCCCGAAAGCUAUUUAGGUAGCGCCUCGUGAAUUCAUCUCCGGGGGUAGAGCACUGUUUCGGCUAGGGGGCCAUCCCGGCUUACCAACCCGAUGCAAACUGCGAAUACCGGAGAAUGUUAUCACGGGAGACACACGGCGGGUGCUAACGUCCGUCGUGAAGAGGGAAACAACCCAGACCGCCAGCUAAGGUCCCAAAGUCAUGGUUAAGUGGGAAACGAUGUGGGAAGGCCCAGACAGCCAGGAUGUUGGCUUAGAAGCAGCCAUCAUUUAAAGAAAGCGUAAUAGCUCACUGGUCGAGUCGGCCUGCGCGGAAGAUGUAACGGGGCUAAACCAUGCACCGAAGCUGCGGCAGCGACACUCAGGUGUUGUUGGGUAGGGGAGCGUUCUGUAAGCCUGCGAAGGUGGCCUGUGAGGGUUGCUGGAGGUAUCAGAAGUGCGAAUGCUGACAUAAGUAACGAUAAAGCGGGUGAAAAGCCCGCUCGCCGGAAGACCAAGGGUUCCUGUCCAACGUUAAUCGGGGCAGGGUGAGUCGACCCCUAAGGCGAGGCCGAAAGGCGUAGUCGAUGGGAAACGGGUUAAUAUUCCCGUACUUGGUGUUACUGCGAAGGGGGGACGGAGAAGGCUAUGUUGGCCGGGCGACGGUUGUCCCGGUUUAAGCGUGUAGGUGUGUGUUCCAGGUAAAUCCGGUUCACUUUAACACUGAGGCGUGAUGACGAGGCACUACGGUGCUGAAGCAACAAAUGCCCUGCUUCCAGGAAAAGCCUCUAAGCAUCAGGUAACAUCAAAUCGUACCCCAAACCGACACAGGUGGUCAGGUAGAGAAUACCAAGGCGCUUGAGAGAACUCGGGUGAAGGAACUAGGCAAAAUGGUGCCGUAACUUCGGGAGAAGGCACGCUGACACGUAGGUGAAGUGAUUUACUCAUGGAGCUGAA
This 1080-nucleotide ribosomal RNA is filed under the name Salmonella enterica. RNAcentral's name for it is "partial 23S ribosomal RNA". It matches the Rfam family "Bacterial large subunit ribosomal RNA", at positions 711 to 1781 of the family's 2925-position model. The record is from RNAcentral. Lineage: Bacteria; Pseudomonadati; Pseudomonadota; Gammaproteobacteria; Enterobacterales; Enterobacteriaceae.